GAUGAACGCUGGCGGCGUGCUUAACACAUGCAAGUCGAACGGAAAGGCUCCUGCUUGCAGGGGUACUCGAGUGGCGAACGGGUGAGUAACACGUGGGUGAUCUGCCCUGCACUUCGGGAUAAGCCUGGGAAACUGGGUCUAAUACCGGAUAGGACGAUGGCUUGGAUGCCAUUGUGGACAGUUUUUCGGUGUGGGAUGAGCUCGCGGCCUAUCAGCUUGUUGGUGGGGUAAUGGCCUACCAAGGCGUCGACGGGUAGCCGGCCUGAGAGGGUGUACGGCCACAUUGGGACUGAGAUACGGCCCAGACUCCUACGGGAGGCAGCAGGGGGGAGUAUUGCACAAUGGGCGCAAGCCUGAUGCAGCGACGCCGCGUGGGGGAUGACGGCCUUCGGGUGGUAAACUGCUUUCGUCAGGGACGAAGCGAAAGUGACGGUACCUGGAGAAGAAGCACCGGCUAACUACGUG
Molecule: ribosomal RNA, 465 nt
Filed under: uncultured bacterium
Lineage: Bacteria
Description: partial 16S ribosomal RNA
Rfam family: Bacterial small subunit ribosomal RNA
Source: RNAcentral